UACGAAGGGGGCGAGCGUUGUUCGGAAUUACUGGGCGUAAAGCGCACGUAGGUGGCGACGUAAGUCGGGUGUGAAAGCCCCGGGCUCAACCUGGGAAUUGCAUUCGAGACUGCAUUGCUGGAGUACGGAAGAGGAAGGCGGAAUUCCCGGUGUAGCGGUGAAAUGCGUAGAUAUCGGGAGGAACAUCAGUGGCGAAGGCGACCUUCUGGUCCAGUACUGACACUCAAGUGCGAAAGCGUGGGGAGCAAACAGG
Molecule: ribosomal RNA, 253 nt
Filed under: uncultured bacterium
Lineage: Bacteria
Description: partial 16S ribosomal RNA
Rfam family: Bacterial small subunit ribosomal RNA
Source: RNAcentral